This is a long non-coding RNA of Humulus lupulus (European hop), 631 nucleotides long. RefSeq lists it as uncharacterized. The transcript has 2 exons. The record is from RefSeq and is a predicted model, not a curated record. Lineage: Eukaryota; Viridiplantae; Streptophyta; Magnoliopsida; Rosales; Cannabaceae.
UUUCCGUUUCCCCUAAACCCUCUCUCUCUCUUACUUCCCAGCCGCAACCCACCCUUACAUUUAUCUCUACCUCUACAAACAAAACGAACGACGAACAAUAGUGGGUAUUGGGCAAACGGUGGGGCCUCGGGGGCCGGUCAUGGGCAAACGACACAAACGAUAGGGGCUCGGGGGUCUUGGGAAAAUGACGCAAAUGACGGGCUCAAGGUCGUGGGUGGCUCGGUCUCGUGAAGGGGUCGUGGGUGGUGGCUCUGGCGAUGGGGCUAUGGCAGUUUCUCUUUGUGUUAACGGAGAAGAUGAAGAAUGAUCGAAUAUAGUCCUGUGGAUUAUGCUCAAAUUUAUGAGAUGAUUAGAUUCUUCUUUCGUGGACUGCUCAAUUAUGUCCAUUGUAUUCUUUAAGAGUAAAGGAAGUCUCAAUCUGAAAGUUACAAAACUGAGGCUCAAGAUUCAAGCAACAAGACUGUAAGGCGUAUUCAUGUCAAAGGUGGAAGUCAUAUAUGAGUUGUUAUGAUUUUUCUUUAUUCAUUUCAAUGUUUAUUUGUUGUUUUGGAUAAUUUGUUUGUUAAAUGAGUACGGUUUGUAUAUGUGAGUUUGAUUUUGGACAAUUAAUAAAGAUGUAUUUUUAGAGUUA